CCGAGUUUACAACUCCCAAACCCAAUGUGAACGUUACCAAACUGUUGCCUCGGCGGGAACUCAUGCCCCGGGUGCGUCGCAGCCCCGGACCAAGGCGCCCGCCGGAGGACCAACCAAAACUCUUUUUGUAUACCCCCUCGCGGGUUUUUUUAUAAUCUGAGCCUUCUCGGCGCCUCUCGUAGGCGUUUCGAAAAUGAAUCAAAACUUUCAACAACGGAUCUCUUGGUUCUGGCAUCGAUGAAGAACGCAGCGAAAUGCGAUAAGUAAUGUGAAUUGCAGAAUUCAGUGAAUCAUCGAAUCUUUGAACGCACAUUGCGCCCGCCAGUAUUCUGGCGGGCAUGCCUGUCCGAGCGUCAUUUCAACCCUCGAACCCCUCCGGGGGGUCGGCGUUGGGGAUCGGCCCUCCUCUUGCGGGGGCCGUCUCCGAAAUACAGUGGCGGUCUCGCCGCAGCCUCUCCUGCGCAGUAGUUUGCACACUCGCAUCGGGAGCGCGGCGCGUCCACAGCCGUUAAACACCCAACUUCUGAAAUGUUGACCUCGGAUCAGGUAGGAAUACCCGCUGAACUUAAGCAUAUCAAU
This 579-nucleotide ribosomal RNA is filed under the name Trichoderma linzhiense. RNAcentral describes it as "eukaryotic LSU rRNA". The stretch from base 203 to 356 matches the Rfam family "5.8S ribosomal RNA". Lineage: Eukaryota; Fungi; Ascomycota; Sordariomycetes; Hypocreales; Hypocreaceae. The record is from RNAcentral.